CGCCGCGUGAGGGAUGACGGCCUUCGGGUUGUAAACCUCUUUUAGUAGGGAAGAAGCGAAAGUGACGGUACCUGCAGAAAAAGCACCGGCUAACUACGUGCCAGCAGCCGCGGUUAUACGUAGGGUGCAAGCGUUGUCCGGAAUUAUUGGGCGUAAAGAGCUCGUACGGGGUUUGUCGCGUCUGCUGUGAAAUCUGGGGGCUCAACCCCCAGCCUGCGGUGGGUACGGGCAGACUAGAGUGCGGUAGGGGAGAUUGGAAUUCCUGGUGUAGCGGUGGAAUGCGCAGAUAUCAGGAGGAACACCGAUGGCGAAGGCAGAUCUCUGGGCCGUAACUGACGCUGAGGAGCGAAAGCAUGGGGAGCGAACAGGAUUAGAUACCCUGGUAGUCCAUGCCGUAAACGUUGGGAACUAGAUGUGGGGGCCAUUCCACGGUCUCCGUGUCGCAGCUAACGCAUUAAGUUCCCCGCCUGGGGAGUACGGCCGCAAGGGUAAAACUCAAAGGAAUUGACGGGGGCCCGCACAAGCGGCGGAGCAUGCGGAUUAAUUCGAUGCAACGCGAAGAACCUUACCAAGGCUUGACAUAUACCGGAAACGUCCAGAGAUGGUCA
This 608-nucleotide ribosomal RNA is filed under the name Microbacteriaceae bacterium Ri1Pt_3788. RNAcentral's name for it is "bacterial SSU rRNA". It matches the Rfam family "Bacterial small subunit ribosomal RNA", at positions 395 to 1012 of the family's 1533-position model. Lineage: Bacteria; Bacillati; Actinomycetota; Actinomycetes; Micrococcales; Microbacteriaceae. The record is from RNAcentral.